GAGUUUGAUCAUGGCUCAGAUCCUGAACGCUGGCGGCAGGCUUAACACAUGCAAGUCGAGCGGGGGAAGGUAGCUUGCUACCGGACCUAGCGGCGGACGGGUGAGUAAUGCUUAGGAAUCUGCCUAUUAGUGGGGGACAACAUCUCGAAAGGGAUGCUAAUACCGCAUACGUCCUACGGGAGAAAGCAGGGGAUCUUCGGACCUUGCGCUAAUAGAUGAGCCUAAGUCGGAUUAGCUAGUUGGUGGGGUAAAGGCCUACCAAGGCGACGAUCUGUAGCGGGUCUGAGAGGAUGAUCCGCCACACUGGGACUGAGACACGGCCCAGACUCCUACGGGAGGCAGCAGUGGGGAAUAUUGGACAAUGGGGGGAACCCUGAUCCAGCCAUGCCGCGUGUGUGAAGAAGGCCUUAUGGUUGUAAAGCACUUUAAGCGAGGAGGAGGCUACUUUAGUUAAUACCUAGAGAUAGUGGACGUUACUCGCAGAAUAAGCACCGGCUAACUCUGUGCCAGCAGCCGCGGUAAUACAGAGGGUGCGAGCGUUAAUCGGAUUUACUGGGCGUAAAGCGUGCGUAGGCGGCUUAUUAAGUCGGAUGUGAAAUCCCCGAGCUUAACUUGGGAAUUGCAUUCGAUACUGGUGAGCUAGAGUAUGGGACCGAGGAUGGUAGAAUUCCAGGUGUAGCGGUGAAAUGCGUAGAGAUCUGGAGGAAUACCGAUGGCGAAGGCAGCCAUCUGGCCUAAUACUGACGCUGAGGUACGAAAGCAUGGGGAGCAAACAGGAUUAGAUACCCUGGUAGUCCAUGCCGUAAACGAUGUCUACUAGCCGUUGGGGCCUUUGAGGCUUUAGUGGCGCAGCUAACGCGAUAAGUAGACCGCCUGGGGAGUACGGUCGCAAGACUAAAACUCAAAUGAAUUGACGGGGGCCCGCACAAGCGGUGGAGCAUGUGGUUUAAUUCGAUGCAACGCGAAGAACCUUACCUGGCCUUGACAUACUAGAAACUUUCCAGAGAUGGAUUGGUGCCUUCGGGAAUCUAGAUACAGGUGCUGCAUGGCUGUCGUCAGCGCGUGUCGUGAGAUGUUGGGUUAAGUCCCGCAACGAGCGCAACCCUUUUCCUUACUUGCCAGCAUUUCGGAUGGGAACUUUAAGGAUACUGCCAGUGACAAACUGGAGGAAGGCGGGGACGACGUCAAGUCAUCAUGGCCCUUACGGCCAGGGCUACACACGCGUAUGCUACAAUGGUCGGUACAAAGGGUUGCUACACAGCGAUGUGAUGCUAAUCUCAAAAAGCCGAUCGUAGUCCGGAUUGGAGUCUGCAACUCGACUCCAUGAAGUCGGAAUCGCUAGUAAUCGCGGAUCAGAAUGCCGCGGUGAAUACGUUCCCGGGCCUUGUACACACCGCCCGUCACACCAUGGGAGUUUGUUGCACCAGAAGUAGCUAGCCUAACUGCAAAGAGGGCGGUUACCACGGUGUGGCCGAUGACUGGGGUGAAGUCGUAACAAGGUA
RNAcentral lists this ribosomal RNA (1502 nucleotides) under Acinetobacter baumannii. RNAcentral describes it as "bacterial SSU rRNA". It matches the Rfam family "Bacterial small subunit ribosomal RNA". Lineage: Bacteria; Pseudomonadati; Pseudomonadota; Gammaproteobacteria; Moraxellales; Moraxellaceae. The record is from RNAcentral.